This 78-nucleotide microRNA precursor is filed under the name Schistosoma haematobium. RNAcentral's name for it is "mir-3492 microRNA precursor family". It matches the Rfam family "mir-3492 microRNA precursor family". The record is from Rfam by way of RNAcentral. Lineage: Eukaryota; Metazoa; Platyhelminthes; Trematoda; Strigeidida; Schistosomatidae.
AGCAUUCUGAAUUCGUGUAGAGAUUUCGUCACACACCAACUCAUUAUGGCUGAUCAGACUUCCAAGAUAAAUAAAGUU